UACGUAGGGUGCGAGCGUUAAUCGGAAUUACUGGGCGUAAAGCGUGCGCAGGCGGUUCGUGAUGUCUGGUGUGAAAGCCCCGGGCUUAACCUGGGAAUUGCAUUGGAAACUAGCGGGCUGGAGUGUGGCAGAGGGGGGUGGAAUUCCACGUGUAGCAGUGAAAUGCGUAGAGAUGUGGAGGAACACCGAUGGCGAAGGCAGCCCCCUGGGCUAACACUGACGCUCAUGCGCGAAAGCUAGGGGAGCAAACGGG
Molecule: ribosomal RNA, 253 nt
Filed under: uncultured bacterium
Lineage: Bacteria
Description: partial 16S ribosomal RNA
Rfam family: Bacterial small subunit ribosomal RNA
Source: RNAcentral